This 3686-nucleotide long non-coding RNA is filed under the name Papio anubis (olive baboon). Its description in RNAcentral is "lncRNA (ENSPANG00000050057.1)". The record is from RNAcentral. Lineage: Eukaryota; Metazoa; Chordata; Mammalia; Primates; Cercopithecidae.
UUGAAGGAGCAGCUCUCUGACAUUCCUGAUCUUCCCCACCACAGCGAGACUCUCUUGAAAACACACUGACGGAGAGCGAGGCCCGCUACAGCUCCCAGCUGUCCCAGGUGCAGAGCCUGAUCACCAAUGUGGAGUCGCAGCUGGCGGAGAUCCGCUGUGACCUGGAGCGGCAGAACCAGGAGUACCAGGUGCUGCUGGAUGUGCGUGCCCGGCUGGAGUGUGAGAUCAACACGUACCGGAGCCUCCUGGAGAGCGAGGACUGCAAGCUCCCCUGCAACCCAUGCGCCACCACCAAUGCUAGUGGCAACUCCUGUGGACCCUGUGGCACCUCUCAAAAGUGUUGCUGUAAUUGAAAAGCUUGUAUCCUCUUCGAAGGCAUCUACAGAGCCAUUUAGAUCAACCACAGGAAAGAUCUUCAAGUCCUGACUUUUCUGGAGCUCAGCUGACAUCAAGAAACCUCAUCUUGCCUACUAUGUUAUUUCUAGAAUGCUGAAAAGCUUUCCCCACCCAAGCAAAGACACACAUCAUCAACUUCCAAUGUCUGGACAACUCCUUCCUGUUGAGGGUGGAGCCUCUUUGUUUCUAAAGACGUUCAACUCCCUGUAAUCUGAGCUCCAGUUACUACUGUAGGGUGUUUCCUGAACGUACUGCAUUUCCUGUUUUCCUUUCUUCUUUGGCAUUCUCUGGAAUGCAAGGAGAAGACUUCAUUUACUUCCCAAUAAACUUCAUUUCUGUGGCAUAGUAAAUGUUUCUCAUUCAUAUUCAUGCAUUGUAAAUUACUCAUCAUGGCUGUUUCAUAAAAAUACCCCUUCAUUAGGAGAAUAGAAUGAAUUAAAUGACGGAGCCAAGCCUUUAUGCUUCACCAGAAACACUGAUGUAGACAGGGAAGGACAUCCUUUUGGGAGACUCCCACCCAGGGUAGGCCAUGCAGGAAACCUGGCCUUCAAUACCCAUGCUUGCCUUGCCUUGACUACAGGGCCCUUGGCAAUUUUGCAAAUCCUCCCCAAACUUCACUGCUAUCUCUGGCUCUCACCCUCAUCAGAACAGAAUGUUCUGCUUCUCUUUCUCCUAAAUUGCCUGAAGAACCUACAGAAACUGCUUAUACAGAAACUGUUCAAAGAGCAGUGAUUCUCUCCUCUCAACCUCUCUGCCACUCCUGCCUUUCUAAUAUAGAUACCUGUUCCUCCCUUGAAAUGCACCUUCAUUGAUUUCCACAACCCUGCACACUCUGGGUCUUCUUGAAAUAUCGCUAAUUACCUGUUCUCUGUUGUCUUGUUAGCUGUCUUCCCCUUUUUGUCCCAAAUGAAGGAAACACCUAUAUUCUCAGCCCUCCGUCUUGCUCUUUCUACGUCCCUGUUCAUGUAGAACUAGCCCCUCUAUGCUGAUGACUCCCACAUCUCUCUCUCUUCUCAGCUUGGUUUCCAGGUUUUCUGUUGCACAUAUGACAGUUUCACUUGGUAUCAGGUCAUUACAUCAUGUUUAAUUGGACUAAAACGUAUUUUUCCCAAACUGGUUCAUCUUGCCGCCCACUUGUUAUACCUGACAUAUUGUCCUCCAAAUAGGCCCUUUAAAUGCAGUCCUUACCUUUCCCCUCUUCAAGUUUAUUCUUUCCCCUAGAUCUUUGCUCUUAUCCAUAAUGUUCUUCCAUAGCCUCUUUAUCAUUUCAUUUUCUGUAAUUCCAAGAAAGGCCAAUGUUCAUUAAGCAUCUCCCCCAAAACAUUAAUCUUACUCCACACCCCACUUGCCUCAUCUCUGAAUUUUUAAAGCUUUCAAUUUUAUAGGCCACCAUCUCAAUUAUCCAUUUAAUUUAAUGCAACUACAAUCAAUCAUCUACUGUUUGUCCCGGAUACUGUGGGCAGUACUGAGAAACACAAAUAAGUGAAUCCCAGUGAAGCCCACAGCAUGUCUUACAGUUUAGAGUGCAUGAGUCUAUUUGUCAUCAUAGACAAAUAUCAGUGUGGCUCAAGAAACGAAUAGAUAAAGAAUUAUGAAUUUCAGAGGUGUGAGAGAAUGUCUCGUUGACUGCAGGCCCUUCAGAAGAGGCAAUAUCGUCACCUAAUUAAAGCCUAUGUAAACCAUGGAAUACUGUAAGUGGAAUAAAUAAGGAAGAGUAAAACUAAUGAAAAUUCAUGAGGUUAUUAAAACUUUAUAUACUUCCCAUAGUUUCAACUUCAAUCAACGAUUACUGUAUGAUAUUAGCAUAAUUCUGAAAUAAAGUUUGCUGGGAAAUGCCUGGUCAGAUGGGUGUGUGUAGGCCAUAGAAGAGGGAAAGUUUUGGCCAGGCACAGUGGCUCACACCUGUAAUCCCAGCACUUUGGGAGGCUGAGGCGGGUGGAUCACGAGGUCAGGAGAUCAAGACCAUCCUGGCUAACACGGUGAAACCCCAUCUCUAGUAAAAAUACAAAAAAAAAAAGAAAAAAAAAAUUAGCCAGGCGUGGUGGCGGGCACCUGUAGUCCCAGCUACUCAGGAGGUUGAGGCAGGGGAAUUGCUUGAACCCAGGAGGCAGAGGUUGCAGUGAGCCAAGAUCGUGCCACUACACUCCAGCCUGGGUGAUAGAGUGAGACUCCGUCUUAAGAAACAACAACAACAACAACAAAACAGAGAAGAGGAAACUUCCUGAGCAUGAACUUUGCCUGGAGGAGUUAUAAAGUUUGUUUAGAAACUGACAACCCAAUUCCCAGCCUAGAACAGAGGGUAAGUGUGGUAAUAGGAGAUGAAACUGCAAGGUAAUCAGGUAGGAGCAUGUUUGGCAGUGCUCUGAAUGAUUAUGAAUGAGAUUUUCUUGUAAGGGAGUUUGUCAUAUGAUGUGUCUGGCUGCUGUGUACAGGUUGGGUUGUGAGGAGUCCUAGAAGCUGGAUGAAAUAGAAGGAAGAUCAAUUAGUAGGUGGGAGACAAUAAAGACUGAGAUAAGUGGAGGUGAGUGAGGCAGAAGAGGGGUAGAUUUUAGAGGCAUGGCUUAAAUAUGGAAGCUGAGUAGAGGUAGAGGAACAAGGGAAAGAGAAGGAAGGAAACUAGUACUGAUCACACACUGUAUUAGUCAGGGUUGUCCAGAGAAAUAGAAACAGUAGGCUAUAUAUAGAUACACAGAAAAAGAUUUAUUAUGAGGAAUUAGCUCAUGUGAUUAUGGAGGCUGAGAAGUCCCACAGUCUGCUGUCUUCAAGGUGGAGGCCCAGGAAAGCCAGUGGUAUAGUUCCAAUCCAAACCCAAAGGACUGAGAAUCAGGAAGGCUGAUGGUGUGAGUCCUGGUUUGAGACUGAAGCCUCAAGAACUGGGAGCAUUGAUGUUAGAGGGCAGGAGAAGAUGGAUGUCCCAGCUCAGCUCCAUUCUCAUUGGGAGUGCAGGACUGAGUGUAAGAGAAACAAUGACGGCUCUGGAGAGGGUCUGUGGAACUAGCCCCUGAGUUCCAUUUUGAGUUGUCUGUAUCUGUUUUUUCUCAGCAUAGUUUACUACUGACCUGGCCUAUUCUCCAGACCCUCUCCUGCUUCUCCCUUAAGGGUCAGUAAGAGAUAAAUAAUUUGCCUUUCUUUUGCCUUUUAGUUCUAUUUGACUACCCACAUUAGAGGACACCUGCCCACAUUGGUGAGGGUGAUCUUUACUCACUCUUCUGAUUCAAAUGCUGAUCUCUUUUAGAAACACCUUCACAGACAUAACCAGAAAUAAUGUUUUACCAGCUAUCUGGGCAUCC